AGCGUCCUGUGCUGGAAUGUGCGGCUCCCGCGAGCUCGCGGCGCAGCACCACAGCAAGCGCCGCCGAGGCCCCGGGCCCCAGACCCCGGCGGCGGCGCCGGCGGCUCGGAAGGCUGGGCUAGGGCCAGUGGCUUGAGCACCCUCUGCAGCUCCACUCCUGGGCCUUCGCGGGCCUUGACGGCCCCAGCGCCCAACUUUUCCACCCUCCCCCUUCCCUCCCCUGAAACUCCAGCAACAAAAGAAAAGUAGUCGGAGAAGGAGCGGCGACGCCGGGUAGCCCGCCCCGCCUCGCCGGGAAGGCCGAAUACAGUUAUGGCCACCCAGGUAAUGGGGCAGUCUUCUGGAGGAGGAGGGCUGUUCACUGGCAGUGGCAGUAUUGGCAUGGCGUUGCCUAACGACAUGUAUGACUUGCAUGACCUCUCCAAAGCCGAACUGGCUGCACCUCAGCUUAUCAUGCUGGCAAAUGUGGCUUUAACUGGGGAAGUAAAUGGCAGCUGCUGUGAUUACCUGGUUGGUGAAGAAAGACAGAUGGCAGAAUUGAUGCCUGUUGGGGAUAACAACUUUUCAGACAGUGAUGGAGAAGGACUUGAGGAGUCUCCUGAAAUAAAAGGUGAACCUAAUGGACUGGAAAACAUGGAACUGAGAAAUUUGGAACUCAGUGUUGUAGAACCUCAGCCUGUAUUUGAGGCAUCAGCUGCCUCAGAAGUUUACAACUCAAAUAAAGAUCUUCCUCCAGAAACACCUGGAGGAGAGGACAAAUGCAAGAACUUGAAGACCAAACCCUUUCGCUGUAAGCCAUGCCAGUAUGAGGCAGAAUCUGAAGAACAGUUUGUGCAUCACAUCAGAGUUCACAGUGCCAAGAAAUUUUUUGUGGAGGAAAGUGCAGAGAAGCAAGCAAAAGCCAGGGAAUCUGGCUCUUCCACUCCAGAAGAGGGAGAUUUCUCCAAGGGCCCCAUUCGCUGUGACCGCUGUGGCUACAAUACCAAUCGAUACGAUCACUAUACUGCACACCUGAAACACCAUACCAGAGCUGGGGAUAAUGAGCGAGUCUACAAGUGCAUCAUUUGUACAUAUACAACAGUAAGCGAGUAUCACUGGAGGAAACACUUGAGAAACCAUUUUCCAAGAAAAGUAUACACAUGUGGAAAAUGCAACUAUUUUUCAGACAGAAAAAACAAUUAUGUUCAGCAUGUUAGAACUCACACAGGUAAGAGAAGCUUUCUAGUCCCCCAAGUUCAGUUCCAAUUGUCAAUUGGGUGGUGCUGGAGAACCCAGUGGGACUCUGGGUUCAAACCCGGGUUCUAUUAUUUGCUAUCUUUGUGACCUUGGACAAGUGAUUUAACCUCUUUGUUGCACAUUCUCCAUGGAGUAACAACAUAGAUGGGAUUGGAGGAUUAAGUGAAGUAACACAUGUGUAAAGCACUGAGUGUUAUUUGAGAAGAACAGCGAAAAGAUCUGAGCAGUGCUCUUCUAAAGUACAUAUCCUAACAACUUGAGAUAGACCAUUUCACUAAAU
This is an RNA transcript of Propithecus coquereli (Coquerel's sifaka), 1516 nucleotides long. It is a transcript of the gene named RE1-silencing transcription factor pseudogene, with no coding region annotated. The record is from RefSeq and is a predicted model, not a curated record. NCBI's taxonomy places the organism in Eukaryota, Metazoa, Chordata, Mammalia, Primates, Indriidae. The transcript has 2 exons.